UUCAAACUUUUUGGUCAAGUGGUUUCUCUCAUAAACAAUGCCUCUAUCAUUUUCAAAAUUUUCACACAAAAAUAGAUUGAUGCAUGAUUUAGCAUGAUAAGAAUGAGUUAAAAUAAUGCUCGGUUUCCCGCUUUUUAGUGUACAAUGGAAAGCUUCCUCACAAUUGGUUAAGUCCUAUUUUGAUUCAAAGAUGACAUACAUUUCAAUGAGUUUAUGAUAUGAAAUUUGCACACACCAUCAAACUACUCAUGUUAAGUCUAGAAAGCGACAAAGUGUACCUUGAAAUGCCGACACUAAUUCUUAUCAUCACCAUUCGAAGUGUCCUAUGCUUCUUUCUUUGCGAUCAUUUCUCGGUUGCUUUAAGCUUGACUUAAGAGUAAGAACAAUUAAACA
This 393-nucleotide long non-coding RNA is filed under the name Lathyrus oleraceus (garden pea). RNAcentral's name for it is "Pisum sativum (pea) long non-coding RNA (PSAT_LNC019480)". The record is from RNAcentral. Lineage: Eukaryota; Viridiplantae; Streptophyta; Magnoliopsida; Fabales; Fabaceae.